Molecule: ribosomal RNA, 427 nt
Filed under: uncultured bacterium
Lineage: Bacteria
Description: partial 16S ribosomal RNA
Rfam family: Bacterial small subunit ribosomal RNA
Source: RNAcentral
GUGGGGAAUAUUGGGCAAUGGGGGGAACCCUGACCCAGCGACGCCGCGUGGGUGAAGAAAUCCUUCGGGAUGUAAAGCCCUGUUGUAUGGGAAGAGCGGAAGACGGUACCAUACGAGGAAGCCCCGGCAAACUACGUGCCAGCAGCCGCGGUAAUACGUAGGGGGCAAGCGUUGUCCGGAAUUACUGGGCGUAAAGCGCACGCAGGCUGAAUUAUAAGUCGGUAGUAAAAGGCGGGGGCUCAACUUCCGUAUAUCUAUCGAUACUGUAAAUCUAGAGUAUGUGAGAGGGAAGCGGAAUUACCGGUGUAGCGGUGAAAUGCAUAGAUAUCGGGAGGAACACCAGUGGCGAAGGCGGCUUCCUGGCACAAUACUGACGCUCAUGUGCGAAAGCUAGGGCAGCGAACGGGAUUAGAAACCCUGGUAGUCC